UGGUAGAGGUGGGCUGGGUGUUGGCAAAGAUCUUACAGAGGAGGUGGAUCUUUGUGAGUAGUUCGAGGAUGUCAACAUAAGAGAGGAAGGUCUUCCACCUCUACUGGGGGUCAUUGACGAUGGCCCCGACGAUUGCAGGGGUAGAGCGAACGUUGGGGUGCUUAGUGAGAUUGGAGAGAGGGUGGUCAUCAUCAGAGGGCUGCAUUCCAUGCAUGACAUGAGGGUUAUAUGCUAGUAAAUAGUUAUAUCUAAAGAUUAAGGCCUAAACUUAAAAAUAUAAAAUAAUAAUUAUUAUUUUAUAUAAAAAAAAUGAUCGAAAAAUAGAACCGAUUGAAGGGUAAGGCCAUAAAAGCCUUUGCUUUAGGCCCCAGGCCC
Molecule: long non-coding RNA, 375 nt
Filed under: Elaeis guineensis (African oil palm)
Lineage: Eukaryota; Viridiplantae; Streptophyta; Magnoliopsida; Arecales; Arecaceae
Description: long non-coding RNA (EGUI_LNC034420)
Source: RNAcentral